GUUGACUGCGUACCUUUUGUAUAAUGGGUCAGCGACUUAUAUUCUGUAGCAAGGUUAACCGAAUAGGGGAGCCGGAGGGAAACCGAGUCUUAAUUGGGCGUUAAGUUGCAGGGUAUAGACCCGAAACCCGGUGAUCUAGCCAUGGGCAGGUUGAAGGUUGGGUAACACUAACUGGAGGACCGAACCGACUAAUGUUGAAAAAUUAGCGGAUGACCUGUGGCUGGGGGUGAAAGGCCAAUCAAACCGGGAGAUAGCUGGUUCUCCCCGAAAGCUAUUUAGGUAGCGCCUCGUGAAUUCAUCUCCGGGGGUAGAGCACUGUUUCGGCUAGGGGGCCAUCCCGGCUUACCAACCCGAUGCAAACUGCGAAUACCGGAGAAUGUUAUCACGGGAGACACACGGCGGGUGCUAACGUCCGUCGUGAAGAGGGAAACAACCCAGACCGCCAGCUAAGGUCCCAAAGUCAUGGUUAAGUGGGAAACGAUGUGGGAAGGCCCAGACAGCCAGGAUGUUGGCUUAGAAGCAGCCAUCAUUUAAAGAAAGCGUAAUAGCUCACUGGUCGAGUCGGCCUGCGCGGAAGAUGUAACGGGGCUAAACCAUGCACCGAAGCUGCGGCAGCGACACUCAGGUGUUGUUGGGUAGGGGAGCGUUCUGUAAGCCUGCGAAGGUGGCCUGUGAGGGUUGCUGGAGGUAUCAGAAGUGCGAAUGCUGACAUAAGUAACGAUAAAGCGGGUGAAAAGCCCGCUCGCCGGAAGACCAAGGGUUCCUGUCCAACGUUAAUCGGGGCAGGGUGAGUCGACCCCUAAGGCGAGGCCGAAAGGCGUAGUCGAUGGGAAACGGGUUAAUAUUCCCGUACUUGGUGUUACUGCGAAGGGGGGACGGAGAAGGCUAUGUUGGCCGGGCGACGGUUGUCCCGGUUUAAGCGUGUAGGCUGGUUUUCCAGGCAAAUCCGGAAAAUCAAGGCUGAGGCGUGACGACGAGGCACUACGGUGCUGAAGCAACAAAUGCCCUGCUUCCAGGAAAAGCCUCUAAGCAUCAGGUAACAUCAAAUCGUACCCCAAACCGACACAGGUGGUCAGGUAGAGAAUACCAAGGCGCUUGAGAGAACUCGGGUGAAGGAACUAGGCAAAAUGGUGCCGUAACUUCGGGAGAAGGCACGCUGACAUGUAGGUGAAGUGAUUUACUCAUGGAGCUGAAGUCAGUCGAAGAUACCAGCUGGCUGCAACUGUUUAUUAAAAACACAGCACUGUGCAAACACGAAAGUGGACGUAUACGGUGUGACGCCUGCCCGGUGCCGGAAGGUUAAUUGAUGGGGUCAGCGCAAGCGAAGCUCCUGAUCGAAGCCCCGGUAAACGGCGGCCGUAACUAUAACGGUCCUAAGGUAGCGAAAUUCCUUGUCGGGUAAGUUCCGACCUGCACGAAUGGCGUAAUGAUGGCCAGGCUGUCUCCACCCGAGACUCAGUGAAAUUGAACUCGCUGUGAAGAUGCAGUGUACCCGCGGCAAGACGGAAAGACCCCGUGAACCUUUACUAUAGCUUGACACUGAACAUUGAGCCUUGAUGUGUAGGAUAGGUGGGAGGCUUUGAAGUGUGGACGCCAGUCUGCAUGGAGCCGACCUUGAAAUACCACCCUUUAAUGUUUGAUGUUCUAACGUGGACCCGUGAUCCGGGUUGCGGACAGUGUCUGGUGGGUAGUUUGACUGGGGCGGUCUCCUCCUAAAGAGUAACGGAGGAGCACGAAGGUUGGCUAAUCCUGGUCGGACAUCAGGAGGUUAGUGCAAUGGCAUAAGCCAGCUUGACUGCGAGCGUGACGGCGCGAGCAGGUGCGAAAGCAGGUCAUAGUGAUCCGGUGGUUCUGAAUGGAAGGGCCAUCGCUCAACGGAUAAAAGGUACUCCGGGGAUAACAGGCUGAUACCGCCCAAGAGUUCAUAUCGACGGCGGUGUUUGGCACCUCGAUGUCGGCUCAUCACAUCCUGGGGCUGAAGUAGGUCCCAAGGGUAUGGCUGUUCGCCAUUUAAAGUGGUACGCGAGCUGGGUUUAGAACGUCGUGAGACAGUUCGGUCCCUAUCUGCCGUGGGCGCUGGAGAACUGAGGGGGGCUGCUCCUAGUACGAGAGGACCGGAGUGGACGCAUCACUGGUGUUCGGGUUGUCAUGCCAAUGGCACUGCCCGGUAGCUAAAUGCGGAAGAGAUAAGUGCUGAAAGCAUCUAAGCACGAAACUUGCCCCGAGAUGAGUUCUCCCUGAGACUUUAGGUCUCCUGAAGGAACGUUGAAGACGACGACGUUGAUAGGCCGGGUGUGUAAGCGCAGCGAUGCGUUGAGCUAACCGGUACUAAUGAACCGUGAGGCUUAACCUUAC
This 2355-nucleotide ribosomal RNA is filed under the name Salmonella enterica subsp. enterica serovar Montevideo str. 495297-4. RNAcentral's name for it is "bacterial LSU rRNA". It matches the Rfam family "Bacterial large subunit ribosomal RNA", at positions 592 to 2925 of the family's 2925-position model. The record is from RNAcentral. Lineage: Bacteria; Pseudomonadati; Pseudomonadota; Gammaproteobacteria; Enterobacterales; Enterobacteriaceae.